RNAcentral lists this ribosomal RNA (253 nucleotides) under uncultured bacterium. RNAcentral describes it as "partial 16S ribosomal RNA". It matches the Rfam family "Bacterial small subunit ribosomal RNA", at positions 524 to 776 of the family's 1533-position model. The record is from RNAcentral.
UACGGAGGGUGCAAGCGUUGUCCGGAUUUAUUGGGUUUAAAGGGUGCGUAGGCGGCCCGUUAAGUCAGCGGUGAAAUCCCAGGGCUCAACCCUGGAACUGCCGUUGAUACUGGCGGGCUUGAGUUCGGUCGAGGCGGGCGGAACUGGUGGUGUAGCGGUGAAAUGCUUAGAUACCACCAAGAACCCCAAUUGCGUAGGCAGCUCGCUUGGCCGAAACUGACGCUGAGGCACGAAAGCGUGGGGAGCGAACAGG